ACGAAAUGAGGCCUAGGGCAUUUUCAAGCAGCCCACCAUUGGAGAUUAAAAAGGACUAGAAUCCUAUACAAUAUCAAAACAGUCCCCCCUGUACCCGACAUCCUCACACUCAUAUCAACUGUAACAGAACUUUUGUAAGACUCUACCGCCUUCUCAUUGGUCAUGGUCAAAAACUGCCAAAACUAUCGUAAGACUCUGAACACCUUCUCAUUGGUCACGAUCACAUUUAUUACUUGAAGGCCAAGUAAACACCUCAAAUACCCUAAUCGUUUGGU
This 275-nucleotide long non-coding RNA is filed under the name Prunus persica (peach). Its description in RNAcentral is "long non-coding RNA (PPER_LNC007504)". The record is from RNAcentral. Lineage: Eukaryota; Viridiplantae; Streptophyta; Magnoliopsida; Rosales; Rosaceae.